GGCUCAGGAUGAACGCUGGCGGCAGGCUUAACACAUGCAAGUCGAGGGGUAUAGUUCUUCGGAACUAGAGACCGGCGCACGGGUGCGUAACGCGUAUGCAAUCUACCUUUUUACAGAGGGAUAGCCCAGAGAAAUUUGGAUUAAUACCUCAUAGUAUGUGAGAAUCGCAUGGUUUUCACAUUAAAGUUCCAACGGUAAAAGAUGAGCAUGCGUCCCAUUAGCUAGAUGGUAAGGUAACGGCUUACCAUGGCGACGAUGGGUAGGGGUCCUGAGAGGGAGAUCCCCCACACUGGUACUGAGACACGGACCAGACUCCUACGGGAGGCAGCAGUGAGGAAUAUUGGACAAUGGGCGCAAGCCUGAUCCAGCCAUGCCGCGUGCAGGAUGACGGUCCUAUGGAUUGUAAACUGCUUUGUACAGGAAGAAACACUCCCUCGUGAGGGAGCUUGACGGUACUGUAAGAAUAAGGAUCGGCUAACUCCGUG
This 485-nucleotide ribosomal RNA is filed under the name uncultured bacterium. Its description in RNAcentral is "bacterial SSU rRNA". It matches the Rfam family "Bacterial small subunit ribosomal RNA", at positions 21 to 507 of the family's 1533-position model. The record is from RNAcentral.